ACACGCUUUAUUCGGAAUAAAAACGUUCACAUUCACACGCUUUAUUCGGAAUAAAAACGUUCACGUACACGCUUUAUUCGGAAUAAAAACGUUCGCGUACACGCUUUAUUCGGAAUAAAAACGUUCACAUUCAUACGCUUUAUUCGGAAUAAAAACGUUCACGUACAUUAGAAUAAAGAUUGAGGCCAGCGUAAUGAUGGUUAUAUAAAAUUGAUCAUAUGAAUUCUAUUCGUUGACGAAUAGUCUGAUUACUUCAUGUCUGAUUAGUUUCAUGGUUGGAAUUUGUGUGGGCGUCCUGCUCAUGUGCUUUAGCGUCUCAAAGCGCCCCUUGUGCAGUAAAGCCGUCCUGUGAGAAAACACGACUCCUGUGAGAGAUCUGAUUUUGUCUAAUCUGUGAGGAGGGAUUGGUAUCAGAUGAACAUAAAGUAGAAUACGUGUUAUUCAUUGAGGAUGCUGAAGUGGACAGAUCUUUAAAUUUGAAGUGUUGUGCUGACACAACAGAUGCGUUUGGCUGAUGUAACGGAAAGGUCAUGGGUCAGACCUCCGGCGCAUCAGCUGUGUUCCAAAACUGACUCAUGGGUGUGGACAAGACCUAGGGGUUAUUGCCUCUAAAAUGCCCUCAGGUGGAGAUUUUAAUACUGGAGCAUCACCCUGAUGAAACAGACUUGUCUUUUUAUCAUCUUUAUCGACACCGCGGAGAUGCUGAUCUCUGGUCGAGCCCAGAAAUGAGCGUGUCUAGGCGGUAUCGUAGUGGAGCUUUUCCUACAAAUCAAAACGAAAAGAAGUCAUUUCUGACCGUGAUGUCACUCAGUAGCCGACUCCGGAUGACGCGUGCUCGCGGUUCUCCGCGAAUAGACCCCGGGGUCGUGUUAACAGCCGUUUUCUGACCGUAUCGCCUCGAGAAAACCCGAGCUCGCUCUUUAUUUCGUUCUCUCCAUCGCUCUCUUCAUCAACGUAACUCCAUUAACGUUUCUGUUUCUACGACAAAAACUCCGACACUAUUCCGCCGUUCCAGCUAUCUAUCGAACUAUAGACCGGUUGUCAUUUGGGUGUUCGUAAUGACGUAAACAGGGAGCUCGGUCUUGCGGCUCGAUCCCACGACGCAACGUAACAUUGAAUCACGGAGCCCUUUGUCAAAGUCAAGUCACACGGCAUUGUCGUUUCAACAUAGGGCUGCACUAUUAAUCGAAUAUCGAUCUCGAUUAGGAUUUUGACCGCCCACAAUUACACGAACACGAUCGACUGCGAUAUUGAUGUUUAAAGUUCGUCCUCCGCUCAUAGAAAACUUCGGCGCAGGGAUGACGUCGUUUUGUGCGCUGAAACCCGGCAACGAGUUAGCGUUUCAGCGCUUCCGAGUCCAUCCCAACGUCAAUGACUUGGUCAGUGAGGGAUUUUGGUUAAAGGCCUGAAAUAAGGUCUGUGGUGAACACAAGCUCAAAAUUAGGGCUGCAACUAACGAUUAUUUUGAGAAUCGUUUAGUCGGCCGAUUAUUUUUCCGAUUAAUCGGGUGGGGGCGGGGCAAACUUUCAGAGCCCUUUUUUUAAAAUAAAAUCCGCAAACUGAGUGUUACAAAUAUAAAUUCAGACUAAAACUUUACACAACUGUUUGUCCAAAACAGAAAAGAACCCAAUACACACACACACACACACACCCCAGAAUAUAUGUUAAUAAUUUAGGACUGUAGUUUAAUUCGGUGCUUUUUGUACAUCCAUAAAAUAAUGAUGCAUAAGUACUAUAAAGUAAAUUGUUUGUGUAUAUAUGUGUGUGUGUAUAUGUGUGUGUG
Ictalurus punctatus (channel catfish) is the source of this 1783-nucleotide long non-coding RNA. The record is from Ensembl. Lineage: Eukaryota; Metazoa; Chordata; Actinopteri; Siluriformes; Ictaluridae.